GAUGAAGAACGUAGCGAAAUGCGAUAAGUAAUGUGAAUUGCAGAAUUCAGUGAAUCAUCCAAUCUUUGAACGCACCUUGCGCCCUUUGGCCAUUCCGAAGGGCAUGCCUGUUUGAGUAUCAUGAACACCUCAACUCUCAUGGCUCGCCAUGAUGAGCUUGGACUUUGGGGGUCUUGCUGGCCUGUGGUCGGCUCCUCUCAAAUGGAUCAGCUUGCCAGUGUUUGGUGGCAUCACAGGUGUGAUAACUAUCUGCGCUUGUGGUUUUCCAUCAGAUAACCUUCAGUGAUGGAGGUUCGCUGGAGCUCAUAAACGUCUCCCCUAAGCGGGGACAGCCCUUUGAAUGUUUGAUCUCAAAUCAGGUAGGACUACCCGCUGAACUUAAGCAUAUCAAUAAGCGGAGGA
RNAcentral lists this unclassified non-coding RNA (402 nucleotides) under soil metagenome. RNAcentral's name for it is "partial contains 5.8S ribosomal RNA, internal transcribed spacer 2, and large subunit ribosomal RNA". The stretch from base 1 to 121 matches the Rfam family "5.8S ribosomal RNA", at positions 35 to 154 of the family's 154-position model. The record is from RNAcentral.